AGAGUUUGAUCCUGGCUCAGGAUGAACGCUAGCGGCAGGCUUAACACAUGCAAGUCGAGGGGUAUAGUUCUUCGGGACUAGAGACCGGCGCACGGGUGCGUAACGCGUAUGCAAUCUGCCUUUUACAGGGGAAUAGCCCAGAGAAAUUUGGAUUAAUGCCCCAUGGUAUAUUUGAGUGGCAUCACUUGAUUAUUAAAGAUUUAUCGGUAAAAGAUGAGCAUGCGUCCCAUUAGCUAGUUGGUAAGGUAACGGCUUACCAAGGCGACGAUGGGUAGGGGUCCUGAGAGGGAGAUCCCCCACACUGGUACUGAGACACGGACCAGACUCCUACGGGAGGCAGCAGUGAGGAAUGUUGGACAAUGGGCGCAAGCCUGAUCCAGCCAUGCCGCGUGCAGGAUGACGGUCCUAUGGAUUGUAAACUGCUUUUAUACGGGAAGAAACCACUCUUCGUGAAGAGUACUGACGGUACCGUAAGAAUAAGGAUCGGCUAACUCCGUGCCAGCAGCCCGCGGUAAUACGGAGGAUCCAAGCGUUAUCCGGAAUCAUUGGGUUUAAAGGGUCCGUAGGCGGCCUUAUAAGUCAGNGGUGAAAUCUNCCGGCUUAACCGGGAAAUGGCCAUUGAUCUGU
RNAcentral lists this ribosomal RNA (627 nucleotides) under uncultured Flexibacter sp. RNAcentral describes it as "bacterial SSU rRNA". It matches the Rfam family "Bacterial small subunit ribosomal RNA", at positions 8 to 636 of the family's 1533-position model. Lineage: Bacteria; Pseudomonadati; Bacteroidota; Cytophagia; Cytophagales; Flexibacteraceae. The record is from RNAcentral.